Molecule: long non-coding RNA, 369 nt
Filed under: Vulpes vulpes (red fox)
Lineage: Eukaryota; Metazoa; Chordata; Mammalia; Carnivora; Canidae
Description: lncRNA (ENSVVUG00000008422.1)
Source: RNAcentral
UCAUUUUUUUAGUCCUUAUGGAUUUAUAUAUUAAAAAAAUCCAUUGAUGUCAUUUUAACAGAGCAUUGUGAGGGACAGCUGAUGACAGGUAUGAUCAGACUUCCACGUUCACCUGCAGUCUGGAGGGGACACGAGGGAAACGCAGAGCCAUUAGGAAGAAACAUGGUGGCUGCCACACCUCCUGGGCCAUAUUUAGUGUGGAGAGGAUGUGAAGUUUUCCUUGGUGAUAAUAAUGCCAGCAGCUGUCAUCCUUCAAGCAUCUACUCGGUGUCAGAGUGUGGCAUGCAUGGUCUCAUUAUCUUCAUUGAGCAUAGGUGCGGGUAGGUGUCACUAUCCAGCGUUACCUGUUCUGAGUGGGGGUUUUGGAAA